Molecule: ribosomal RNA, 422 nt
Filed under: uncultured Chryseobacterium sp.
Lineage: Bacteria; Pseudomonadati; Bacteroidota; Flavobacteriia; Flavobacteriales; Weeksellaceae
Description: bacterial SSU rRNA
Rfam family: Bacterial small subunit ribosomal RNA
Source: RNAcentral
UGAGGAAUAUUGGACAAUGGGUGAGAGCCUGAUCCAGCCAUCCCGCGUGAAGGAUUAAGGUCCUACGGAUUGUAAACUUCUUUUGUACAGGAAUAAACCUAUUUACGUGUAAAUAGCUGAAGGUACUGUACGAAUAAGCACCGGCUAACUCCGUGCCAGCAGCCGCGGUAAUACGGAGGGUGCAAGCGUUAUCCGGAUUUAUUGGGUUUAAAGGGUCCGCAGGCGGACUGAUAAGUCAGUGGUGAAAUCUCAUAGCUUAACUAUGAAACUGCCAUUGAUACUGUUGGUCUUGAGUAAAUUUGAGGUAGCUGGAAUAAGUAGUGUAGCGGUGAAAUGCAUAGAUAUUACUUAGAACACCAAUUGCGAAGGCAGGUUACCAAAAUUUAACUGACGCUGAGGGACGAAAGCGUGGGUAGCGAACA